ACCUGCACCCGGGAGGAAAGGCGAGGCUCUGCAUCUAGAUUUACCUCGUUCUCUUUUGUCUCCGCUUUUUUUUCACAUUUCCUUGCGCCCCUGGCCCUUGAGCGACAAAAAGGGGAAGCCAAGGCUGGCCCGAGGAACGGAGAGGGCACAUGGCCUAGCCACGAGUGGAGCUUCUGCUCCGCCCGAAGGGAUGCGCUGGAGCGGCCUCUUCCUUCUGCCACGGUCUUUCUUUGCCAACUAGUAGUAGAGAUGGGGUUUCACCAGGUUAGCCAGGCUGGUCUUGAACUCCUGACCUCAAGGGAUCCGCCUGCCUCAGCUUUCCAAAGUGCUGGGAUUACAGGUGGAGACUGGACCUCAGAAGAGGGAGUGGGUGCCCCGAGAACUCACAGCUAGUGGACAGCGGAAAGGGCAGGAGCCGGACCAAGGUGAGGACAGCGGAACUGAAGGCCGCUGGUUACCUCUCCUGCCCUCUGCUGGCCACAGUGGAGAAGACAGCCCCUCCCUCCUGCUCUGACCUGACAGUGUUCAUCCAUCGCCCUGU
Molecule: non-coding RNA, 541 nt
Filed under: Pan troglodytes (chimpanzee)
Lineage: Eukaryota; Metazoa; Chordata; Mammalia; Primates; Hominidae
Source: RNAcentral